UCCAGCGGUGUUCAUCCACACUUAAAACAAAUUGUUACAUAAAACCAUUGUGGUGCCAGACCAGGGCCAAUACGUCACUGUUUACGGUUCACCAAUUACUCUUCCACUGACCAACAAUUCAACCAUUGCUCUUACCAGUUCACAUAUAGCACUUACAUAAAUCGCAUUAUAAUUUUUAAUGUAGAAACAAGUGCCUCGUGCAAUUGGCACGUGCCCAGUGGGCCAGUUCACUCUCCAUCUCAUCCUCUUACAGAGACAUCGCCCACCGCGAUUCUGCCAGCCUGCUCGACCCCCACUGAUUCUGCAAAGCAGUGCCAUGGCAACGACCGCUGCAAGCCAUUCCUGCGGUGAGUGCUGCAGCCUGGAGGGCCGGCGCCGACCACCACCACCACACAACCUGCGCAACAUACGACAUGCUGAAAAGUGGAGGGGCACCAUGACAUCUCUGCUGCAUCUGUCACUACAACAUCCACCAUGUUGCAAAUCACCGGCAUUGCAGGAGUGGUGGAGAUGCUCCAAAGCAGCAUCGAUGGGGCUUCGCAACUUCUGAUGUCCAGUUCACAUACCACAAUACCUCCAAAUCAGUCAGCUGAAGUGUAGCACAUGCCUUGAAGUAAAGAAGCCUGAUGUAAAACAUGUCAGAUUGGAAAUGUAAAUUCAGUUCAGUGCAUAUGUCAAUUCAAACUGCCAUGGCGACAUAGAGAAGUACCAGUAGCAAACUUAACAAAAAGGGAAAAUUUCCAAGGUUGGUAAAAUUAAUCAAACUUAAUAAAAAAGGAUUUUCCCCCAAAUUCCUAAACUGGUUGAUCUGAAGCCUAGUACAGUACUACUACAAGUGCAUCCAACCAUGGAGCACUGGACAAAGACAUAUAUGGCAGUAAACUGAUUAUAUAAUCUAGUACAAAUUGACUCAUGGAGUAAACUGAUCAACACAAGGAAAUGUGUGAAAAAUAGUUAAGAGAUAGGUAGUAUGUGAGAUCAUAAGGCAUUAUUCUCCUCAUCAGUACCAAGGAAGAAGAAAGAACUAAAGGACCUAGAACAACAACACUUGCAUUCUCUUCUUACUGAUUGCUAAUGAGUGUUUAUUUUGCACAUGCUUCCUUUUACAAACUAGCCACGGGACAGCCAGACGAGCAGCAACUGUAAAUAUAUGCAUGUGUAUGUCCUCUGAUGACAAAAAGGGCAUCCUAUUGCAGAGUAGUACCCAAAGUUCAUGUAGCAGCAGGCUGUGAUGAUGAUUGAUUGGUCUUUAUAUUUUGCAAAUGGGCGACCUUACAAUUACGGUUACCAUUAGUGUCAUUGCCAUCUUAAGUUCAGGUAUGCUACAAUUCCGUAUGCAUAAAUUCUGAAAAUUCCAUAUGCUACAAUUCAGUAGAAUCAUAGCUUGGCCACUGUAAAGAAAAGCAUGCAUAUAUAGCUGACAAAGAGAUAUCAUUUAGUAGACAUGAAAAGGCGGCAAAGAAUCUUGUCUUGAUAAAAUCUAAUUAGAGGUGAAUUGGCACAUGUGACGUGGAAAAGAUUGCCUUCUUUCGUGAAUGAAAGUGUGAUCUCCCCCUGGCCAAUUUGAUCUUUGUUGUACAAUUUACCCUCCGCAUUUAUCAUUUAUUUUUCCAUUAUAAUUUUAAUAGGGACGUGCUUAGGAUUAAUAUGGCCGCUAAUUACUAUAGAAAACAUCAAAGAUGUAACCUAUUGUAUCCCAGACUUUUAUUAUCUUGUAAUGCGGAAAGCACAAGAGCAUACUAGUGGCUUCUCUACUGUUGGUGAUGCCCGGAUAAGUGCUUAUGCACUGAUUUCCCUCCUAAUAACAGAUAAAUUAUCCAAUAACCUUGUAUGGCAAUUAAGAAACUUGUGCUAAUCUAAUACACGAUACUGACAAAGAAACAAGUAUGAUUGAUGUCCAGAUGCCAUGUUACACAAACCUGUCUAAAUCUACUUGUAUGAUUUGGACUGAACCAACAGCAGCUACUGCCUACUCACGUAUUGUAUACUUGCACGUUCCAACAACUAAAGAUCAACAUUAUAGAAAUCUUGAAAAUUUCACAACAAGCAUCAACACUCUAGAUCAUGAAUCCGUGGAAAAGAAGAUUAGGGAACUGUAUUUGUUACCCGUGGUGUCUGAUGGAGGCUGCCGGACUAGAGAUUUCGUGCAGAACCAUGGGGCCAUGGACUUGUUGGUGCCGGAGAACGAGAUGCCGCCAACCAGUACAGGAGAAAGACGACACCGCCGAGCAGCUGUCCAGUAGAGGGGACCAAGGCAGAGAGGGGCCCCGGCGAGACUGAGAUGUAGAGAGCAGCGGUGGUGUCGGGGUCGACGGCGACGGGGCGGUGGCAACGGCAUCGGCGGCGAUGCAGCCCAAUGGCCAUGGAUGGUCGGAGGAACCCUAGAGUGUCCGGAUUUGGCUGCUCCAAGCUGUCGGCCAACUCUUCCCUGAGUGGGAACC
RNAcentral lists this long non-coding RNA (2441 nucleotides) under Triticum aestivum (bread wheat). Its description in RNAcentral is "long non-coding RNA (TAES_LNC007263)". The record is from RNAcentral. Lineage: Eukaryota; Viridiplantae; Streptophyta; Magnoliopsida; Poales; Poaceae.